AAUUCUCUGUCUUUAAAAAGUCAAUUAGUGAGCAUAAAAGCUACAUGUUAAGAUAUUGAGUAUUAUUGGAGAGAACUUUGAAGUAGUAAAAAAAUAAGUUUGAGAGUUUCUGCCUAAGACGAAGAUAAGAAUCCUAAGAGAGUAGUGGAAUUAAGUAAUAACUUACAAAGUUUGGACUUUUAGUCAUCUGUUGUAGAAAAUUAAAGAAAUACACAGUAUUGCUGACUUACCUAAACUAAUGCAGUAAAAUGUGGAUAACUUACAUUUGAGUAUAUAAAUGCGUUAAGCUUCAUACAUUUAUUUGAGUCUGAGUCAUAUGUAUUGAUCUUUUAGUAUUGAAAUGACAUUUUAUUUUUGUUUUAGAGUACAAAUCUUUCACUUUAAAUUGAUUUAUUCUUUUCCUUUUCCUGAGCUUUACUUAAGUUUAGAAAAGAAAUAAAACGUUGUGUUCUAAUAUGCAUAUACUUUCAUUAGACUUUCAUUAGAUUUCUUUUGAUU
Molecule: long non-coding RNA, 498 nt
Filed under: Bos taurus (domestic cattle)
Lineage: Eukaryota; Metazoa; Chordata; Mammalia; Artiodactyla; Bovidae
Description: long non-coding RNA NONBTAT010748
Source: RNAcentral